Alkanindiges sp. is the source of this 358-nucleotide non-coding RNA. Lineage: Bacteria; Pseudomonadati; Pseudomonadota; Gammaproteobacteria; Moraxellales; Moraxellaceae. The record is from Rfam.
GGGGAUGUUCUGGCUUCGACGCUGGUGAUGAAACUCAAUGAUGCAUGCCGAGAGCGCAUUAUCUCUCGUAAAUCAAUCUUGCAUUUUUAUAGUCGCAAACGACGAAACUUACGCUCUAGCAGCCUAAGGGCUGCUUGUCCGCCGAACCAAAUAUCUGUGGUUGGUGAGGCCGACCGAAGCGCACGCACACAGAUCCGCACCGUGUAAUGUCCCGUGACAUGGUGUCAAACUUAGGGAAUCGCUUCUAACGUCCUGUUCGUUGGGCUGUUAGCGGUUAAAGCAAUAGACGAUAACUAAGCAUGUAGAUUCGUGGGCGUAGUGCUGGCGGACGCGGGUUCAAAUCCCGCCAUCUCCACCA